GGACCCGCACAAGCGGUGGAGCAUGUUGUUUAAUUCGAUGAUACACGAGAAACCUUACCAGCCCUUGACAUGUACAUUAUACUUUCUGGAAACAGAUCGUUUCGGUUCGGCCGGGUGUACACAGGUGUUGCAUGGCCGUCGUCAGCUCGUGUCGUGAGAUGUUGGGUUAAGUCCCGCAACGAGCGCAACCCCUAUUGUUAGUUGCCAGCAUUAAGUUGGGCACUCUAACGAGACUGCCGAUGAUAAAUCGGAGGAAGGUGGGGAUGACGUCAGGUCAUCAUGGCCCUUACGGGCUGGGCUACAAACGUGCUACAAUGGCGACUACAAAGGGCAGCAAUCCCGCGAGGGGGAGCAAAUCCUAAAAAGUCGUCUCAGUUCAGAUUGCAGGCUGCAACUCGCCUGCAUGAAGUUGGAAUCGCUAGUAAUCGUAGAUCAGCUAUGCUACGGUGAAUACGUUCCCGGGUCUU
This 467-nucleotide ribosomal RNA is filed under the name uncultured bacterium. RNAcentral's name for it is "bacterial SSU rRNA". It matches the Rfam family "Bacterial small subunit ribosomal RNA", at positions 917 to 1382 of the family's 1533-position model. The record is from RNAcentral.